RNAcentral lists this long non-coding RNA (27105 nucleotides) under Capsicum annuum. RNAcentral describes it as "long non-coding RNA (CANN_LNC014235)". Lineage: Eukaryota; Viridiplantae; Streptophyta; Magnoliopsida; Solanales; Solanaceae. The record is from RNAcentral.
CCCCCCCCCCCACCUAUCCAAAUCAUCUUCUCCAAACACCACAGCCCCCUCCCUCCCUCACCCCCCACCUAUCCAAAUCAUCUUCUCCAACUACCCCAACCCCCACCCACCCCACCCCAUCCCACCAAAUCUCCUUCUCCAAAUAAUGACGUUAAAGUAAAAGACCUUUAACAAGAUUCGUGAUUCCCAAAAAGAUUCGUGAUUCCCAAAACAGAGGAUCCAACAUGUGGCCGCCAACAUAAAUUAAAUUUCAUGUGAAUAUUAAGGUUCACAUAUUGUGUCAGUCUCUUCCGCUACCUCCUAAUUUUCAUAUUGGUAAAUCAAAAUGGGACACGAAUCUUCUCUCUCCACCUUGUCAAUUUUUUUUUGAAAAAACUCCCUUUUUACAGAUUCUUGAUUGCAUAAUAGUAGUCGAGUAAUUUUGUUGUGUGUUGAGAGAAAUAUGGUUGUGGGGGUUCUUGCUUUACAGGGAUCUUUCAAUGAACACAUAGCAGGUCCUAUUAGAAUUCUCUCUUUUCAUGUUCCUUUUUUGUGUUUCUAAUUGGUUCAAGUUGCUAAGUUUUUUCUGUUAAUUCGAUUAACGAAGAGGAAAUCAUUUUAAGAAGGGAACCACUUUAAGAAAUAAAAAUGGUUAAAAUCAACAAAACAAAAAUUCAACCAUUUUUGUUGAUUUGCUGCUGCUCAACAUUGAAUAGUGAUCAAGGAAGGGACAUACAAAUUAAAGGGAGAGGAAAGUCGGUGAGAAAGAGUGAGAUAGUGGUAAUAAUGUGUGUAUGUAUCUGGGAGCUUUCUCUGUUAAUUCGAUCAAUGAAGGGAUACAAAUGUGUUAAUAAAGGAAAAGAAAAAUGGUGGAAAAUUAAUGGAUUGAAAAAAGUGAGGAAGAAAGAGAAGAAAGAUGAAAAAUUACGAAAAUACCCCUUAAGAAUUAUGAAAAUACCCCUCAAGAAUUACGAAAAUACCUCUCAAACGCGCUUUCAAUGCGUGUAGCACACGAUUUUUGCUGAUUCGGCAAAGUGUGCCAAAGUGACACACUUUAUGGCUACUUGAGGUGCCAAAAGUGAACAACAUCCACUUGAGGUGCCAAAGUGAAAGAUCGUGCCAAGUUUAGAGGGUUAUCGAUGGGUUUGACCUUUUUUUAGAGCAUAAGAUGGACCAAAAGGGAGUCAUGUCUAAAUAGUUCAAAAAAGCUCAGUUUUUUUUUUAAAUUUAUAAUUUUUGAUUAAUAAUAAUCAUUUUUUUAAAAUAAGUUUUAAAUUAUUUUUAAUAAUUUGGAUCAGNNNNNNNNNNNNNNNNNNNNNNNNNNNNNNNNNNNNNNNNNNNNNNNNNNNNNNNNNNNNNNNNNNNNNNNNNNNNNNNNNNNNNNNNNNNNNNNNNNNNNNNNNNNNNNNNNNNNNNNNNNNNNNNNNNNNNNNNNNNNNNNNNNNNNNNNNNNNNNNNNNNNNNNNNNNNNNNNNNNNNNNNNNNNNNNNNNNNNNNNNNNNNNNNNNNNNNNNNNNNNNNNNNNNNNNNNNNNNNNNNNNNNNNNNNNNNNNNNNNNNNNNNNNNNNNNNNNNNNNNNNNNNNNNNNNNNNNNNNNNNNNNNNNNNNNNNNNNNNNNNNNNNNNNNNNNNNNNNNNNNNNNNNNNNNNNNNNNNNNNNNNNNNNNNNNNNNNNNNNNNNNNNNNNNNNNNNNNNNNNNNNNNNNNNNNNNNNNNNNNNNNNNNNNNNNNNNNNNNNNNNNNNNNNNNNNNNNNNNNNNNNNNNNNNNNNNNNNNNNNNNNNNNNNNNNNNNNNNNNNNNNNNNNNNNNNNNNNNNNNNNNNNNNNNNNNNNNNNNNNNNNNNNNNNNNNNNNNNNNNNNNNNNNNNNNNNNNNNNNNNNNNNNNNNNNNNNNNNNNNNNNNNNNNNNNNNNNNNNNNNNNNNNNNNNNNNNNNNNNNNNNNNNNNNNNNNNNNNNNNNNNNNNNNNNNNNNNNNNNNNNNNNNNNNNNNNNNNNNNNNNNNNNNNNNNNNNNNNNNNNNNNNNNNNNNNNNNNNNNNNNNNNNNNNNNNNNNNNNNNNNNNNNNNNNNNNNNNNNNNNNNNNNNNNNNNNNNNNNNNNNNNNNNNNNNNNNNNNNNNNNNNNNNNNNNNNNNNNNNNNNNNNNNNNNNNNNNNNNNNNNNNNNNNNNNNNNNNNNNNNNNNNNNNNNNNNNNNNNNNNNNNNNNNNNNNNNNNNNNNNNNNNNNNNNNNNNNNNNNNNNNNNNNNNNNNNNNNNNNNNNNNNNNNNNNNNNNNNNNNNNNNNNNNNNNNNNNNNNNNAUCUAUUAUAUACCUACAAAUCCGCGCACCCCCCUAUAAAUGGUACAUAUUACUCUCUCACUCAGAUAGCCUGUGUUGAUGAAUAUUCUUCUUAUGGGAUUCCACUGCUUUUGGUCUUGUCCUGAGUAAUAUGUUUGUUUUUUGGUACUAAUAUUCUCCACUCUAUCAUUUUGAAUAGAACUCUACUUAUUAUUUUUCUUAUUAUGGAGCUUCUUUAGUUCCAGGUGAAGUACCCUGCAAUCUACCUCAUUAUGCCCCUGCAACAUACAUUCCUUAUAAUAUUUUGGUAAGAAAUCAUUUUGUAUUUUCAUUUUUCUUCUACUCUUGUAUCCUUGAUCACCUCAAUACCAUUUCAUGAGACAAACUUAGGCAAGUUAACUAGUAAGUUCACCUACAUCUUAACCUUUAGACAACUUUGUCUAGUCUUGUUCAUUGUGUCGCAUCUAGAUGGAUUGGUUUCCCUACUGCGGAAGAAAGACUAAAUAAUGAUUCUUGGACGAAAAGGUUGGUUUUAGAUUAGUGAAAAUAUCCAAACCAUUGCUUAGGUCGUUUCAUCAUUUAAAUUAAAUUUAGCAUCAUAGAUCAAUGGUCUCAUUUGAUAAGAAUACCCAUCCUUAGUGGAGAAGUAGUAAAUAUUUUUUGACAGAAUAUUUAAAAAAUCCUCCAUAAGAUUGAACCUAAUGAGGAUAUGUCUGUUUCUCAACAAACCUAUCUUACAUUCACCUUUCAUAUUAAUCAACUUAGGAAUUAAAGUUCUCAAUUCAUCCAACUCCGGCCAACAAUAUGAAAACUUUCCCAUUACUGCAUAUUGUAGGUUCUUAAUAGUGUUCAUGCAUUUUAUCUCCUCCUCUGUCCACAUAACUCUUGGAACUCCAUCAACAUAUGAUAACUUUUUAAUUGGAAUUAGUUCAAAUGUAUGAUUUAACACUUUUGGACGGUUAUUGAUUAUAGGUUUGAGCAAAUCAGCAUAUUGACCACUCUUUGAUGUGCUUGCAUGCAUGGGAGAUCUGGUAGACUAUAACACACUUGUAUCACUAGAUUAUAUAAGUAGUGGAAGGAAAUCUUUAGUAUUAUGGUCACAAUAGGACUGACCUCCAUGGAGGGCAGACCAAUGGGUUGAUUGGCCAUACUCCGGCAUUGUCACAGCUGGAAUUAGAAUUUUUCAUGGCUAGGGUUCUUGAGGGUUUUUUAUCAAGAAUCCUGGGGAAGGGGAGUGUAAUGCCUGUGCUUUUUCUUAGCUUAAAAAUCCUCUCAAGGAUGUUAUAACUUGCUUUGAAAUAACAAUUCAUUCUUAUACAUGUGGUAUUUCCAUACUUUUCACUUCCUAUUACAUGUUUGAUGAAAUGCUCCUAUGAAGGUAGUAUGUACUAUGAUGAUAGUAAAGUCUUUAAGUAAAUAAUGUUAUGCCAGUUUCCUUCUAUUGAGUCCUGGGGGUACUUGUACCCGAAAUAUUAGUUGUGUGCCUAGAUCCAUGUCAUGUUUUUAUGAUUCUCUCAGUCAAGCUAUGAACUCUUAGACUUCAGAUAGUCUUAUGACUCAGGAAAAAUCUCCACAAUCUUAUGACUCAGUCAGUUGUCAGAUAUCAGUAGUAUUCCACCAGCCACAAAAAUUUAGUAACUCAGUCCAUGCUCAGUAUAGUUCAGUAAAUCAUGUUCAGUGUCCAUUCAUAUGGGAGUAGGAAUUAGCACCGAAUGAACCCAAGGAUGGGGAAUCACCUGUUAUACAAGGGUUUGAUUCUUAGAAGCAAUCCUUGUAUUCCAGAACCAUGUAACCGUCAUAGGUUGAGACAUUGUAGCCUGUUAUAUGAGGGUAGAUGAGGUGGCUUAACCUGUUAUGUGAGGGUUCCCACCAUUCUCGAUAGAGUUACCUGUUAUAUGAGGGUUACUCACAUGUUGUCCUUACCAGUGGCGCGGUAUUGACACCCUUCCAAUCAGGGCAUAGAUUGGACCCCAGCUUAGCUAUCAUAGCACAUUUGGGGCAUGUCGAUUAGAAACUACUUCCCAUAGUUUCAUGUUACAGAAUCAGGAUUGUCAGAUAUAGUUAAUCAGUCUCAAUAAUAGAACUCAGAUAGUUCUUCAAAUUUCAAGACUGUCAGACAUAAUCAACUCAGACAUGGUACAGAACUCAGAUAGUUCUAUCAGAUUCAGGACUGUCAGACACAGUCACCCAUGUUAUCAGUUAUAUUCAGAUACAGUUAUUUAUGUUAUCAGUUAUGUCAUGUUAUCAGUAUCUAUACUCAGUAUUCAUGCUACCACGGUAUCAGUAUCAUGUUAUCACAUUGUCAGUUACAGUUGUGUAUUUAUGUAUGCAUUCUCACAUUCAUGUUAGGCAAUCAGUUAGUAUUGAUCAUGCAUGGAAACCCUUGCAUAUAGCGUACCUCACAUAUAUACUCAGUAUAUUCCAUUGUACUGAUGCAUUUGCGCUAUGGUGCUUUCUUUUUAUGUUACACCAUAGGUUCAGAGACACGAGUUCCAGUUUAACAGUAGAUUCUAGAUUUAGCAGUCAGAGUAGAAGUGAGUCAUCAUCCUUCAAGGACAUAAUGAUUUUUUUAAUAUCUUAUUGAUUAGCUUAUUAGUUGGAGUUAGUUGGGGACAUGUCCCAUCAGCUCCUUAUUCAGAUUCUUCAGACAGUAGAAACUUUCAGACUAGAUGCAGACUAGAUACAGACUAUUAUGUUUUAGACUUCAAUUUUGUUUUGGAUAUUCUAUUACCCUACACAGAUGUUAUGUUAUUCAGUUAUGUUGAUGAUCGAACCUUAUAGCCUUUCAGUGCAUGUUUCUACAUUAUUAUGUUAUCUUAUGCAGUAUACAGGUAUAGAUAUCAGUCAUGGUUUAGCUUAUGGUCCUUUGGGGUCAUGACCACCGUGUAGCAUUCUGGUUCAACAAAUUAGGUUGUUACAAACUUGGUAUCAGAGCCUAAGGUUCAAUAGAGUCCUAGGAAAUCUGAAAGCCGCUAGUAGAGUCUUGUGCAUGGGUGUGUUGCGUGCCACAUUUAUCUUCAAGAGGAUAUGAGAUGUUUUAAGAACAGUUUCCCUUUUUUCAGUAUUCAUGUCGUGACUGUGAGCAUAAUCACAAGUCAGUAUCUCAGUCUAAUUCGCUUCUUCUAUUUAUUUCAGAACAUGCCUCUUAAGAGAAGAAAUCAGUCAGCCCCUCAGCUCGAAGAACCCUUAGGUAAUCAUGUUUCUCAUGCGGAGUUCAGGACUGCAUUUACCACUCUUGCUCAAUCAGUCGCUGCUUAUAAUCAAUCGAAUGUGUUUGAUAUGAAGAAUAUAUAUNNNNNNNNNNNNNNNNNNNNNNNNNNNNNNNNNNNNNNUAUAGUAUUGGGGCGAGGGCCAGUGAUUGGGUCAGGGGAAGUGGGGUAUGAGGGGUUGGGGUCGUUGAGCGGGGGCUGGGGUUGAGGUGGAAUAUUUAGGAUGGAGAAGAGACAAUCUGUGUUAAAUGCAACUUAAGAAAAAAAAAUUAUUUUACAAGAGAAGUUAUUUUUCUGAUUUUAAGGAAUUUGUUUUUUAAAAAAGAAUAGAGCAACUUUACUCUAGCUUGUCUUCUUAUUCAACUCGUACAGUUAUGUUGUAAUUCAUAGUAAUAGCAAUGAAAUAGUAGAGAAGUAGAAGCAUUAAGAAUGGAAAUAAGAAGUAGAGAGGAUGAAGAAGUGUAGAGAGAUAAGUGAAUUUCAUUGAUUAACUUAUGAAGUGAAAAUGUGCAUCUUUUUUACAUAACAAUACUGUGUAUAUAGAGUAUUUGAAUGAUUAGGUAUCAGUCUACUCAAAUUAACUAACUAACAGAAAAUAAUUAAUAACCAACUUUGUGAAAACAGUGUUAACUCUUUCAGAAUGUACUCUAAUCUAUAGGAUUUAUAUUUCAAUACUUCUCCGCUAGGUGGGAUGAAAGAUGUCUAAUAUCCCAAGCUUGGACUUAGGUACUCACUUUGAACUUGUUGUAUCGGGUGCACAAUCUGUAUGUUUAUACAUUAAACUUUAACACAAGUUCAUAACUAUCUCAAGAACACUUAUGAAGUUUUUCAACACUUUCAACACAAGUUCAAUAUGACCUAUCAAAGAAGUUUGUUGUAGAUAAGAAAUAAGAUGAAAUAGAAAUUAAAUCCAAGUCCUCUGAAUUCACGGAGUGUCCUUAAGGAAAUAAUUUUCCUCAAGUACCCAAGGUUGCGGAAUUUUUCUCUCAGGCUAAAAUAGCUUACAAUCCGACAGUAGCGGUACCUCAAACUAUAAGAUUCUUUGAACUCACUCAACAGUAGAUGAUCACAAUGAGUUUUUAGAAGACAAAAAGUGUUUUUCAGCUCUCAAAAAAAUAUUUUUGUACUUGAGGAAUAAGUUAGGUAUUUAUAGCCAUUAGAUGUCUCUUUGGAAAGGAAGCAUUGGUUCUGGAAAAUUGCAUUAUUUCUGAACAGUCACGUCACCUGCGCCCAGUCUGUGCUGGAACUGCACCUGACCUACGGCCGUAGGUGAUGUUUCGCCCAUUCCAGUGGCUUCUACGCUUGACAUAUGUCUGACCUGCAUUCGCAGGUCGCCCUUUUUUGAAACAGUGUGUCUUUUUUUUAAAGGUCUCAUUCCUUUUGAGAUGCAUCACGCAUGCAUUUUACGGAGUCUGAAAUGCGCACGCAUAUGGAGAAAAUUAUUCCAUUGGAUUUUUGAAUUAAAGCUUUACUUGUUUUAUAAGUUUCAAAUAAAAUUUGUCGUAAAAAUUAAUUUCAUUGAUCGAUUGCCAAAUCCAAAUCGGAAGCCGAGAUGGGCGAGCGGCGAUGACGGCGGCGCGAGGCACCUCUUUGUUCUUGUCUCACUAUCCAUGUGGAGAUCUUUUUCUUAAUAAGAACACAUGAAAGCUUCUCUCUCCCACUAAUGUGGGAGAAUUAGUAGACUUUCCAUAUUUUGUAGUACACUUUCCUUUUUUGUGUGUGAUCUCAUUUUUUCCACCACCAAUUUUCUCUAUUUACUAUUCACACUUUUAACUUGAUCCCAAUAAUCCCCCACGUGAAUGGGGCAUGACUAUCUUAUCAAGAAUUUAUGGACAAGCAUGUGAUCAUUAAGAAAAUACUGAUUGCAUCUGGAUAAAUGGAUUUCUCUUUAAACUUUCCAUAGUGAACAUGCAUCGAAUGUACUCGGUCAAUCGGUAGAUUUUAUAUUUUUGAACCAUUGAGCUUUAAUGUAUACCUAGACAACACAUGUCACAUAAUCAGCCUUUUAUCAUUUAUGGUUCUCACUAUUUUAUUCAUUUUAGCCAUGAACAUCUCCCAGUUUCAUGAGAGCUUAGAGAAUAAGCCUUUACUAAUAUUCUCCUUAAAGAGUCUUCCACUUCACCCUCAUAUAGGUGAUUUAUAAACGUUCAAUUCCUAUAGAUAAAACUGUUUGGUUAAAUCUACCAAAUUUAGAUAACCAUUAAAAGACUUCACACCUUAAGUAUUAUCCUUAUUCACUAAACAUUGUCUACAUCAUGAGAAUGAGUUAGGUAUAUUGCCAAUGUUGAACCUGUCGAAAACAACUUUGAUGGAUCUCCUUGAACCUAGAUCUUUGGAUCUCCAGUCUGCUAGGUAGAGUUACCACUAUGCUGACUUGUCCUAGGUCGUAAGCUCAUUCCCUUUGAUAUUCUCUCAACUCUAUCUCUAGAUAGGCCUUUUAUAAGUAGAUCUGACACAUUAUCCUUUGACUUUACAUAGUCAACAGUGAUAAUUCCACUAGAGAUAAGUUCUCUAAUGGUAUUAUUUCUUCGUGUUAUAUGAUGAGAUUUACUAUUAUAUAUCAUGCUCCCUGCCCUACCUAUCAUCGUUUGGCUGUCACAGUGUAUACAUACUGGUGCCACUAGUUUGGGCCAAUAAGAAAUAUCUUCGAAGAAAUCUCAAAGCCAUUCAGCUUCUUCAUCGGCUUUAUCUAGUGCGAUAAACUCAUAUUCCAUUGUGGAGUGAGGAAUACAUAUCUGUUUGGACGAUUUCCAAGAGACUGCUCCUCCACCUAUAGUAAAUACAUAUCCACUCAUGAAUUUUACUUUAUUUGAUCUGGUGAUCCAAUUUGCAUUACUAUAUCCUUCAAUUACUAUGGGAUAUUUAUUAUAAUGCAAAACAUAGUCUUUAGUGUAUUUAAGAUACCCCAAAACUCUUUUCAUUUCCAUCCAAUGAGUUUUAUUGGGAUUACUCGUGUACUGACUUAACUUACGAAUACCACAUGCUAUGUCUGGCCGUGUACAAUUCAUGAUAUAUAUCAAACAUCCCAACACUCUUGCAUAGUCCAACUGUGAGUUACUUUUACCUUCAUUAUUUUGAAAUGCAAAGCUCACAUCCAAUGCAGUCUUGGUAAUACCAAAUUCCAAAUACUUAAACUUGUCAAGUAGCUUUUUAAUGUAAUGAGAUUGUGACAAUGUCAACCCUUGUGGAGUUCUAUGGAUUUUUAUUCCUUAGAUCGCAUCUGCAACUCCAAGAUCUUUUACAUCAAACUUGAUUUCAAGCAUUCGCUUUAUAGCAUUUAUGUUAGAAAUGUCUCUACUAAUGACCAACAUAUCAUCCACAUACAAACAAACAAUAACCUUGUGAUUUGGAGUGUCUUUAAUGUAAACGCAUUUAUCAUAUUCGUUUAUCUUAAACCCAUUUGCCAACAUGGUUUGGUUAAACUUCGCAUGCUACUGUUUAGGUGUUUGUUUUAUUCCUUAUAGUUACUUAACAAGUUUACACACCUUUUUUUCUUUACCUAGAACCAUAAAACCCUCAGGCUGUUCCAUGUAAAUUUCUUCCUCCAAUUUUCUAUUUAGGAAUGCUAUUUUCACAUCCAUUUGAUGGAUUUCAAGAUCAUAUACCGCUGCCAAGACAAUUAACAUCCGAAUAGACGUUAUCCUCAUUACAGGCGAAUAUGUAUCAAAGUAAUCAAGGUCUUCCUUCUGUUUAAAGCCUUUUACUACAUGUUUUGCCUUGUAUUUGUCAAUAGCAUCAUCUGCUUUUAUUUUUCUUUUAAAGAUCCAUUUAGAACCUAAAGGUUUAUUUUCUAGAGAAAGAUCAACCAACUCCCACGUAUGAUUGCUUAAGAUUGAAUCAACCUCACUAUUGAUUGUCUCUUUCCAAAAGGAUAAGUCUAAAGACGUCAUUGCUUUUUUAAAUGUUUAAAGCUCAUUUUCUAAGAGAAAUUUUACAAAAUAAGAUCCAAAUGAUGUUGACGUUCUUUGAAGUAUACUACAUCUUGGAUUCUCAUCAUUAUGUACAACCUUACUUGGUUUAUCUCGAGGUCAUUUAGACCCACCACUAGACUGUUCAUGUCUAGUUUUAUACGGAUAAAUGUGUUCAAAAAAUUCAGCAUUAUCUGAUUCAAUUAUUGUAUUUUCAGUGAUAUCCAAAUGUUUGAAUUUAUUAACAAAAAAACCAACAUGCCUUACUACUUUUAGCAUAUUUUAUGAACAUGCAGUCCACUAUCGUAGGUCCUAUUUUCACCCUUUUAGGCAUAGAAAUUUAGACUUUUGCUGGACACCCCCACACCUUGAAAUAUUUCAAGUUGGGUAUCCUUUCUUUCUAUUUUUCAUAUAGAAUUAAUAAUGUCAUACUGUGGGGCACUUUAUUGAGUAUUCAAUUAGCUGUAAGGAUAGCUUCCCUCCAUAUGUUUUGCAGUAAACCUAAACUUAUUAGUAAGGCAUUCAUUAUUUCCUUCAAGGUUUGGUUUUCUCUUUCCGUAAUUCCAUUAUAUUAAGGUGAAUACGGGAUUGUAGUUUUAUAGACAAUUCCAUUCUCUAAACAUAUUUCUGCAAAGGAAGAUUCAUAUUCUCUACCCCUAUCACUUCUUAUCAUUUUGAUCUUUUUCUCUAACUGAUUUUCAACUUUUGUUUUACAUUGCCUAAAUGCAUCUAUUGCUUUAUCGUUAUUGUUUAGCAAAUAGACAUAAUAGUAGGUAGUGCAAUCAUCAAUAAAAGUUAUAAAAUACUUUUUUCUACCAUGAGAUGCUGUUGACUUCAUAUCACAAAUAUCAGUGUGCAUUAAGUGUAAGGGAUUGGAAUUCUGUUCAACUGACUUAUACGGAUGGUUAGCAUACUUUGAUUCCAAACACGUUUGACAUUUUGAUUUAUUGCACUCAAAGUUUGGCAAAUCUUCUAAGUUAAUCAAUUUUUGCAAUGUUUUGUAAUUGACAGGCCCUAAUCGUUCAUGCCACAAAUCACUUGUCUCAAGCAAGUAAGAAGAAACAAAACUUUUAUUGAUUUCAACAUUCAUUACAUUUAUCUUAAAUAGGCCCUCAGUGAGGUAGCCUUUUUCUAAUGUUUCAGUUAACUUAGUAUUCCAUUGUCUUUGUGUUUGUUUCAAACCAUAUAAGGAUUUAACUAGACAACAUAUCAUAUUUUUUCCCGACUAGUGAAUCCUUGUGGUAGUUGUGCAUAUAUAUACAAAUACAUAUAUACAUAUAUAUGUAUAUAUAUAUGUAUGUAUGUAUGUAUAUUAUCAUUGAGAUCACCUUAAAUAAAGACAUUAUAUACAUCCAUUCGAUGUCUAUGCCACUUCUUGGAUAAAGCUAAUGACAAAACUAUUACAAUUACCAUCUUGACAACUGAAGAAAAUGUCUCCUCAAAAUCAAUUCUUUCUUGUUGACUAUGUCCUUUAGCUAUAAUUCUAGUUUUAAACCUAUAAACAUCACCAUUUACUUUAAACUUUACCUUAUAUACUCAUUUACAACCUAUAUUUAAUACCCCAUAUUUCUACCUAGCUUAAAAUUGUCCCAGAAAUAUUUUAUCAUGUGUAAAAUUAAAUAAGAUUUCCAUCGAUACUAAAUUCAUUCAAAUCUGACACCCGAGCGAAGAGUUAGAGCCAUUUUGGUAACAUAGUGUGCCACCUGAGCCAUCAACGUGUCACGGAGCCAGCCAAAAUGGCAAUUGUCAAAAUCUAGUGAGCCUCCUCGAUUAUGGCACAUCACGCCAAUGCUCAAAUUCAAAGUUGUCAAAUUCUAGUGACACGGAGUGAUAGCACCGCGUCAUGCCAGGGGUCCAGGUCGAGAAAUUUUCACUGAAUUAAAAUACGCAUCUAAGGAUUAAAAGAGUCAAUUUUUCACCCUUAUAUAUACCCAAUAAUAUGUGAUUCAGCAAUAAUUCCCCCAAAAUAUAUUGUUUCUCUCAAGUUUCUCACAAGAACAAAGGUUUUCAAUAGGGGAUUCGAAUCCAAGACUUGAAUUCAAGAAUCUCUCCAUCAAUCUUUGUAGAAUCAAGAACUAAGGUAUGCACAGUGUUCAUUCAUGGAUUUAUUUCAUCCAUGAAGCCCAAGAAUCAAGUUUUAAAUCUUGUAUUGUAAAUAUUUUAUUGUCGGUUGAUUAUGUUCAUGUGAUUAUGGUUGUAUGAUUUCCAAGUUGGAAUCUUUAUGUGUUGUUCAUGAACCUAUGCUAGUGUGCGGUCUGAAGCAUAUGAAAUUGAGUUAAAAUAUGGAGUUUUUUUGUAUUAAUUUGAUGUUCAUGCCUAUGCCCUAAGUCAUGCAUCGUAGGUGUUUGAUAAAAUGCCUAAGAGAAUAUAAAUUAUGCAUUAUAGCUUAAUUGUGACCCAAGUGAUAAGUGUAUACUUUACCCUAUGACUAAAAAUAACUUCCAUGAUAUUGUGUGCAUUAUGAAUGGUUGAGGGAAUGUCCAUGAGAUUAGGUUGAUGAAAGUAUGACAUGUUUAUAUGCAAUUCCAUUCAUGUACAAGACUAUGAUAACCAUGAGCUUCAUGAAAUCCCCAAAUUAAUGUAUUAUGAAUUUUGAUAUUGGUCAUGUGUUCAAGAAGUGUCAUGUCCUAUCAGUUUCAUGCUAUCAAGUCCUGGGGGUACUUGUACCCGAUAAUUUAGCUGUGUGCCUAGAGCCAGUGUCAUGUUUUAUCGAUACUCUCAGUUAAGCUAUGAUUCUUAAAAUUCAGUCAGUCUUAUGACUCAGGAAAACUCAGUAAAUUCACUAUCAGUCUUGCCCUACUUAGUAAUCUCAGUGACCUCAGUGGUCAUUAACAUCAGUACUCAGUAAUCUCGGUAACCUCAGUAUACCCAAAAAUCUCAGUAACUUCAGUACUCUCCGUUAAUCCUCAGAUCUCAGUAGCAUUCCGUCAGUUAAUAGAACUCAGUGAACUUAGUUUAGCUCUGCUAAAUAAUACCAUUAGUAUCAGUUUAGUUCAUUUAACCAGUUUAGUGUCUAUUCAAUUGGGAGUAGGAUUCAGUACUAAAUAAACCCAGGGAUGAGGACACACAAUGUCAGCCAGUAGAGGGUGUGAUCCUUAGUAGCAAUCCCUGCAUUCCAAAACUAUGUAGCCAGCGUAGGUUGAGAUUUACCCCUACGAGUCUAGGUACUAUACAUAUCUCAUUUGAGUUUUCCUUACAUAAGGGUUGACGGAAGAGCUCCCUAUCAGAGAGAGUUUACUCAUAGCUUUUCUUUACACGUGGCAUGGUACUGACACCCUUCCAGCUAGGGUUACCGGUUGGAUCCCACUAAUUUAGUUUUGGGGCAUAUCGGUUAGAUGAUUACCUCCACAGUCUGAGUUUCAGAUCUAGUUUCAGUAAUAGAACUCAGUUCAGUUCUACAAAAAUCCAGGAUUGUCAAAUAUAGUCAAAUAAGUACAGUGCGGAACGCAGCUUGUUCCAACAAUAUAAGGACUGUUAGAUACAGUCACUCAUGUUAUCAGUAUUCAGACUCAGUAAUCAUGUUAUCACAAACUCAGUUAAUGGUAUAUUAAUUAUACAAAACCCAUGUUAUUAGUAUUCAAUUUCAAAACUGUCAGAUACAGUCAAUCAGACCAGUUCUUCAUAAUCAAAACUGUCAGAAAUAGUCAUCCAUUUAUCAGUAAUAUGACAUUAGUUCCUCAGUACUCAAUAGACUCAGUCAUUCAGUAUCCCAGUAUUAGUACUCAGAUAUCAGUAAAUCAACGUUAUUUGAAUUCAUGAGUCAGCAUUAUAACGAUCUCAGUUAUAGUUACGUAUUCAUGCAUGUAUUCUCAUGUUCAUGUUAUACAUUCAGUUAUUAUUUUCCAUGCAUAUGAACCCUUGCAUUUAGACUACCUCACUUACAUACCAAUAUAUUUAAUAUAUUGACGCAUUUGCGCUAUGGUGUUUUAUACCAUAGAUUUAGAAGCACGAGCUCCCGAGAAUCCUUAGUAGAUCAGACAUUCAGCAGCCAGACUAACAGUGAGUCCUCAUCAUUAGAGAAUAACAUGAUUAUUUUAUUACUUUAUUAUUUUAGUAGUUCGGAGUUAGUUGAGGAUAUAUCCCAUCAACUCCACAGUUUGUUAGAUAGUUUAGAGGCUUUUAGACUAUAGCAUGUGUUCAGAUAGUUUAUUUCAGUUUUGGGUAUUGUCUUACCCCACUACAUAUAUUGUAUUAUAUUCAAUAUUUGUUUAGUUUUGAACCUUAUGGCCUUACAACUUAUAUUCUGCAUAUUUAUAAUAUAUUAUUCAAUGCUUAGUUAUAGAUAUCAGUCAUGGGUUAGCUUAGGGUCCUUCGGGGACAUGAGCACCGUGUAGUGUUUCAAUACCAUAUUCGGGGCGUUACACUAUUACAGACUUCAUUGUAGGUAGUGGAACCACCUCUCAUGUCUUGUUAUUCUCUAAGGUUGUGAUAUCCUUCCGCAUAGCCUAAAUUUCUCUUGUAUCUUUUGUGGCUUCUUGGUAUGUUGCAAUUUCUGUAAUAGAUGAAAAGGCAGUGAUGCAAGAUUUCUAACCAUUAGAAAGACCUACAUAAAAAAUAUAUUUAUCAAGUCCAUAUGGAUUAUCUUUGUGUAUGUUGAGAGACAAAAAGUUCUUUAAUCAAAUAGGUGGUUGUUUGUCUCUAGAUAAUCUUCUAGAAAGUAUAUGUAGUGGUAUUGCAAUACUUGGUUGCUUGAUAACGCUCAAAUUAAUCUCAGAUUUAAGGGGUAAGGCAAUCAUUAUCAAUAGCCUAACUCUCGUUGGGGUCGAAUCCACAACGAGUGAACUUCAAACUUUGAAUCCUAUGGGUGUUCUAGUUACUUAUAAGGAUACCUAAAGUCCGUGCAAAAAGAAACAUGUAAUGUAAAGUGGGGGGAGUUUGGUUUGAAGUUGGAUUGUAUCAAUACGGAGUCAUAACAAUCUAUAAUAGUACUUUUGAUUUAAAGUCAAAUUUGGAGAAAAUCUUGGGAUUAGGUCUACCUAAAGGCAAUGCAUUCGUGGGAUCAUGAUAGUUUAGCAUGAAAUCUAGUUGUUGAAUACAAGAUAGUCUAGGUCAAAAGUGUUUGCGGUUGGUUUGUCAAUCAAACCUCAAAUAUUUCACCUAUUAGGUUUUUUGAGCACCUAACAAGUGUAUCCAUCAUAGUGACCCAAAAACCUCAAUCGGACAUCCCUAUUCUAUGAAAAUGCACAUGGCAUGACUUACACUCUAUUUACACUUAUUUCUAAGAUUGCAAAAGGUAGUAAAUCGCAUAUUCAAUUGUCCACCAUUGUCUUGCCCCUCUAUAGCCCUUUUAAAGAUUGACAUGGGUUUCUUAAGGUCCACCCUUAUCCCUCUUCCAAGGAUGAUGAAAGUUGUAAAUAUUUUGGGGUUUUCACCCAUCAAACCCAUUUGAACAAUUGGGGUUUUCACCUAUAAAGUUCAACCAUUAAGCUCAAGCAAUGGUGGAAUCCAUAAUCAACAACUAAAAAUCAUAUAAACCCAUCAAUACCCAUAACACAAAUAGCAUUAUAGCUCAACAUGAUUCCAAGACUAAAAUAAUUUAGCUACUCAUAAAGAAGGUAAAGAAAGAUAUACCAUUAUAUGGAUUGUUUAAAGAAUUCAUCCUUCACAAAUACAAAAAAUUAAAGCCUCCAAAAUUAGUUACAAAGCUUGCCCAAUUUAGGGUUCUUGUUUUGAAUUAAAAGUGUCUACAAUGUAAGCAAUACCUAAAGAAGAAAGGGUUUUAUCCAAUCACCUAUGCAGUUCCUGAUGACUCCCCCAAUCCCCCCUUCUCAGGGUUUCCAAUACAAGACUUAUCCGUGUUCAGUUUAAAAGAGUUGGGGAUGGGGGAGUUCCAUUUAAGAGUAAUGGUUAAUGUAGGAGUGGUUAUUGUGGUUGUUCCCAGGUGGUGGUACUCCAUAGCUUCAGCAUGAGGUAUACUGAAAUAAGGGACUGAGCUAGCAUUUUAGAAGGUGUUAGCAUUCCUCACCUUCCAAAGUUUCCAGAAGCUGUGGGGUAGCAGGGUGGCCCAAGGAAUAUUAUUGUCAAAACUAUGUUUGUUCACCCUUUCCCAAGUAGUGGACCAAUUGUUGGGAUCGAACAUGGAGAAGUGGAUGAAGAUGAUACCUAUGUAUUUAUGCAUAAGUUGGUCCCAGAAGGUCUUGGCUAAGUUUCACCCAAAGAAGAUGUGGUGUUGAUCUUCCUGAGAGUCAUAGCAGUGGUGGCACUGGGUAUUAACAUUGAUGCCUCUUUUGUGGAGGGUGAUUUUUGUAGGGAGGUUAUUGUGGUGCAUUAGCCACAUAAAUGUCUUGAUAUUGUUAGGGACUUUAAGAUGUCAUAUCCUAGUGGAGGAUCUGUGGGAUCUUUGAGGUCCCCUCUAUCUGGUGGCAAUGUACUGGCAGGCACUUUUAUAGGUGAAGGUGCAAUCUCCUCUAAGUCUCCAGUGAGGGGUGUCUUGCCUGAGAUGGGUGCUUUGUAUAAAAAUUUUCUGCAUAGUGUGAGUGAUGUUUGGGUGGACAUCAAAGUAAAGUGGAGUGAAAUCCCAUAUUCUAUCCCUCUAAAUGUCUUUAACCAUGACUUGGUUGUAGGAGUCAGUGGUGGGCCCCUAGAUGAUAGUGAAGAGGGAGGGCAUCCCAGGGAUCCAUCUAUCCUCCCCAAGUAUUCACUUUAGUGCCAUCAUUUAUGGCCCAAAUAAGGCAUCUUUGCAGAGGUUCCAACAGUUGGUUAUAUUACACCAAGUCCUGGAACCUUUGUUGUACCCCUUUCUGCUAGCCCCAUACUUUGCAAUGAGGGUAUUGUCCCAGAGGGAGUUAGGAUUAGAAUACAUUCUCCAACCCAAGCUGCAAAGAAGGGCUUCAUUCUUGAAAUCAUCCCUUUGCAUUCCUAACCCACCAUCCUUCUUAGGGAGGGUGAUGGUGUCCCACCUAAAAAGGUACAUUCUUGUUUUAGUAUCAGUGGUGCCCCAUAUAAAAUUCCUUUGAGUUCUGUCAAUCAGUUUAUGCAUAGUUUUAGGAAGCUUGAUGUAUUGCAUAAUAUGAUUAGGAAUGCUAUCUAUGGAGGAUUUAGCUAAAGUAACCAUACCAGUCAUGUUGAGAAACUUAAGUCUUCACCCUGUCAACUUAUUUUUCAGGUUAUCAAUGAUGAAGUAGAAGUCACCCUUGACAGGUUUUUUAUGGUAUAUAGGGAAACCCAGGUAUUUUCCAAAGUGAUUAGAGCGUUGAAUUCCUAAGAGGGUAGAGAGGUUCCCCUACUCUUCCAAACCACAAUUUCUGGAGAAGAUGACCUUAGAUUUGGCAAAGUUAAUUCUUUGGCCUGAGUGAGAGCUGAAGCAGGGGAGAAUUCUACUAAUGAUAUGGCAGUAUUUUGCAUCAACUCUAGCAAAGAGAGUAAGGUCAUCAGCAAAGAAGAGAUGGGAGAUGCGAGGGCCUUCCAUGGAAAUGGAUAUUGGAGUCCAUUGGAGGGUGUCCACUUUAAAGGUAAUCCUCCUGACAAGAGCUCCAUGCAGAGAAUAAAGAGAUAGAAGGACAUGGGGUCCCCUUGUCUGAUGCCCCUGGUAGGGUUGAAAGGAGUGGUCUUCCCCCCAUUGACUAGGAUGGAUAUGGAAGAGGUUGAGAUACAAGACAUGAUGAGUUUUAUGAGGUUUGGAGAAAAGUUAAAGAAGGAAAAGGCCAGCCUAAUAAAUGACCAUUCAAGCUAGUCAAAAGCUUUUUCCAAGUCAAUUUUUAGGAGCAUGUUGGACUUCUUACCCUUCAUUUUGGAGAAGUGAGUGACAUACUCCUGAAUAAUGAUAGCAUUAUCACAGGCUCUUCUCUUAGCCAAAAAGCUGGAUUGAGAGGGACCAAUGAUAUUGGUAAGGAAAGGUUUGAUCCUGGUAGCUAUGAUCUUAGUGAUUAUUUUAUAUUGGGUAUUGAAAAGUCCAAUGGGUCUGAAGUUCCUGAGAGUGGUUGCAUUCUUAUACUUAGGGAUGAGGCAGAGGUAGGUGGAGUUAACUAUGGAGUCCAUAGAGAAAAAAGUAAAGGUAUCCUGGCAGAACUUCACUAUGGGAGGCCCCAGGGUGAUACAAGAUUGACAAAGGAGUCACAAAACAAACACCAAAAUAGUCCACAAGUUGGAAGAACCGAAAGAACACAAAGUCUCGGUUUUGGGACACUAAACCCGAGAGUGAACAACUAAGACAAUGAAAUAGAUAGUUAGAUAAGUAACUUGACAUACAAAUGUACAAACACUAUGAACCUAAGUGUAUAUUAAACACAAAGACCCAAGAAUUCAUACAAGUAAAACCAAGCUCUACGGUGACCUCAAGGGAACGGGAUUCCCAAGCAACCAACAUUUCAAAACUAGCACCAACACAAGUGAUAUCCACACUUGUUUACAAGGAAUUUACCUUGCGAGACUCUCUCUCUAGGUCUCUCAAAAUAUCACCAAAUCUAUGAGCAAAAUACCUAAUAUGUUCUAUUUAUAGUCUAGGUUAUAACUUAUUACAAAAUGAUUAUAAUGCCCUUACUGAACCAAGACAAAGGGGCGGCCUUCGAGUGUGCAUAUUGGACAGAUUUGGAGUAUUGGGACUUGUUCUCUACACUUCAAAGCUUGUUUCAUUGGUUGGGUAGCCACCCGAGCUCUAGUCUUUACGUAUUGGUCCACAAUCAUGAUUGUACUUGUAUUAUCCUCCCCUUCUUGAAAAAGGAUUCGACCUCGAAUCCAAACCUUGCAAAAUAAUAGGAAGGACAAGCAAACACAAGUUCCUCAAGGUAUGAGGGUUAGGAUUAGUGUAAUCAAUCAUAGCAUCUUGCCAAGGUGGCUCAAAAUUCACACACACCCAAACAUCCCUCUUACCGGAAUACCCUCCCAAGAAAGAGUCAACUAGUCUAUCCAUAUAAGUGUGACAAGAAACAAGGAACAAGAGUUCCUCAUCAAGUGGAAAACAUAGACUUUUCUUGGAAAAACAAGUAGGCUCGAAAACCGAGAUAGGAAGGCUAUAAAUCCCAUGCAUAUUCAAUUCAUUCCAAAAGACAUCCUCAUUACCAUACUUCAAAUGAUCACCGGGAUCAAAUGGGUGGAGUGUCCAUGGACACGGGCUUAGGAUAAAUUUCCUUUUCCCAAUACUACCACUAGUACAAUCAUAUAUCCCCUCUAUACCAGCAUGGUCUACAACAAAAACAACUAGAGGAUCAUCCAUAGUCAAUCGGCCAAUAUGUUCAACAUCACUAUUUUCACACACAAGUUGGUCUUCUUGACUUCCAUAAGACAAUGUACUAUCACUUUCCACAAUAGCCUCAACAUUAGAUGGAUCAAAUAGUGUAUCUACAAUCUCAAGUUGUACAUUAUCAUCACCAAAUGGAGGCAUAUUUGGCUCACCUAAAGACAAAAUACCAUUCACACUUAGUUGGCUACUGGCCUCAUUCACUAGAGUGCAAAAGUUAGUUUGAUUACCUUGUAACUCAUGUGUAGCAUGUCCACUCACAGGAACUUUAUUAGGAAGGCUUGGAUUCUCUAUCAAGUUAUCCAACUCCUUGCAAAAAGAGCUUUCUGUCCCUUCCAUUCUUCCUUCCACUCGGUCCAUUAUUUUUUUCAUUCUUUCCAUUUGGCUACUAAGAUCAUGUUUCAUAUCCAUUAUGGCAGCCAUCAAAUCGUUCAUGGUCACCUUUUCCAAUUCCAUAGUUCCUAAUAAAAGAAAUUCUAAAACAAAAACACAAAAAACAACAAACUAGUUAAUGUUAGAGAAAAAAACAUCCUCACAAGCUCUCAAGCUCUCCCACUUUAAAAUGCCUCUUAAUUGGCCUCACAAGUGUUGGUAACUCGUUUAUACUCCAAGGAGAUUACUUGGUACCAAUUGGGGCUCGAGGUCAAAAUAGAUUCUCUUUUAAAACAACUCAAAGAAAAUACGUACGGACUUCAACCAAGAAACUACAACGAAUUUCAAAACUAUAAAAGCACACAAAGAAACGUAGACACGAAUAAACGGACCCAAAAACUAAUUUACAACCUAGUAUACAAUUACUAGUUCGUUAAUUAGCAAUUGAAUCAACAAAAUGCAACUAAUAAACAAUAAUUAGAAACUAAGAAAUCAAAAUUUUGGGCCUAAAUUUGUCGUGUGAACAGUAAAACGUGAUGUGGCAGCCACGUAUUGGUUGCGGUCUUAACAUAUUUUAUUUUCCAAAAUUAGAAGUCUUGAACAAUUUGUGAUUUGGAAUUGGUGGGAAUUGAUUUAGAAGGAAAACAAGUCUCUAAAUCCUAUCUUCAAAUUCAAAAGUGGAAGACUUGACUUUCUUGUACCAUUUCCCUAAAACAUGGUCCUUAAAUCAUGGAAAUUUGUUGGAAAGUUGUUGAAAAGGUGAUUGUAAGCCUUUGAGUGGAUGUAAAGUCUUUGGACAAGUCUUUCAAGGCUAACAACAAAAUACACUCUCUUUCUUCACUUUCUAAAUCAAACAACCACUUUUUUCAACAAGAUUUGAAGGUGGUGAAGAACACCAAGAACACACUUUGAGUCUUGAAGUUCUAAGGUUCAAGUUGGACCUCACAAACAACAACAACACCUUCUCAAGCUUAAAUUCCACAACACAAUCCCCACAAUACACGUUCAAGUCUCAAACCUGCAACAACAAUCGGCCAUAAUUUGGUUCACAACAACAACAUCAAUAUUUCAAGCUCAAAUCUAGAUCUAGACUCAAGAGUGUUAGUGGUGGAGAAACUAACACUAGAAACAACAAAACAAAUAAAAUGACUUCUAGAUCUAGACAAGAAAAUAAAUUUUUCAUCCAAGACAACGACAAAAUCUAGAUUCAGCCAAGAACUAGAACAAGAUGGACAGAUUUGCUUCUUUUUUAAUUUAUUUUUCAGCUUUUCAAUAAUUUUUUGUUUUUAAUUUUCUAACAAGCAAGCCCAAGAUUGAUUUGUAGGAACAAUAUCUACCCAUGCUAUGAUACCAAAUGAUACAAUAUCAACAAAGGAGACACAAAACAAACAUCAAAACAGUCUACAAAUUGGAAGAAUCGAGGACCCCUUUGGUGACCACUCUCUGAUUCACUACAACAACAACUAAAACACAAUCACAACAAGAUAUUAAGGUGUUCAACACCUCUAAAAUUAUUUAUCCAACAAACUAUAUUAACAACACAAGCACAAGAACAAUAAGAACAUAAAGUCUCAGUUUUGGGACACCAAACCCGAGAGUGAACAACAAUAAGAUAGAUAGAUAGAUAGAUAGAUAGAUAGAUAGAUAGAUAGAUAGAUAGAUAGAUAGAUAGAUAGAUAGAUAGAUAGAUAGAUAGAUAGAUAGAUAGAUAGAUAGAUAGAUAGAUAGAUAGAUAGAUAGAUAGAUAGAUAGAUAGAUAGAUAGAUAGAUAGAUAGAUAGAUAGAUAGAUAGAUAGAUAGAUAGAUAGAUAGAUAGAUAGAUAGAUAGAUAGAUAGAUAGAUAGAUAGAUAGAUAGAUAGAUAGAUAGAUAGAUAGAUAGAUAGAUAGAUAGAUAGAUAGAUAGAUAGAUAGAUAGAUAGAUAGAUAGAUAGAUACACCAAAAUAGUCCACAAGUUGGAAGAACCGAAAGAACACAAAGUCUCGGUUUUGGUAGAUAGAUAGAUAGAUAGAUAGAUAGAUAGAUAGAUAGAUAGAUAGAUAGAUAGAUAGAUAGAUACAAAUGUACAAACACUAUGAACCUAAGUUUAUAUUAAACAUAAAUACCCAAGAAUUUAUACAAAUAACAUCAAGUUCUUAUGGUAACCUCAAGAGAACAGAAUUCCCAAGCAACCAACGUUUCAAAACAAGCAACCCACACAAGAGAUUCCACACUUGUCACAAGUGAUAUCCAUACUCAUAUGAACACUCUCAAAUAGCUCUCAAAAUAUCAUCUAAUUUAUGAACAAAAUACCUAAUAUAUUUUAUUUAUAGUCUAGGUUAUAACUUAUUACAAAAUGACUAUAAUGCCCUUAAUGAACCAAGACAAAGGGGAAGCCUUCGAGUGUCCAUAUUGGAUGGAUUUAGAGUGUUGGUAGUUGUUCUCUACACUUCAAAGAUUGUUCCAUUGGUUGGGCAACCACCCGAGCUCCAGUCUUUAUGUAUUGGUCCACAAGCAUGAUCGUACUUGUAUCACAGGGUGUCCCAAAAUUUUUGGUACACAUAGGGAUGUAAGCCAUUAGGUCCAGGGGAUUUAUUAGAUUUGAAAGAGAAGAUAGCUUUUUUGAUCUCUUCAUAUGAGGGGAUGGCUUAAAGAAAGCUAUGAUUGGAAGAGCUGAUGGAUCCCAGGAAAGAGGGAUUUGGUUGGGUCCAGAGGUACCCUAAGGUAUGAUUAGAGCUAUAGAGAUUGGUAUAGUAGUUGGAGAUAGUAGUAGCAAUAUCCUUCUGAUGGUAGUGUCAAGUGCCACUAUUAUCCAUGGUGGAAUUGAUCAUAUUCUUUCUCCUCCUGUUGAGAGUGGAUGGAAGAAUCUAAUAUUAGAGUCCCCCUCAAGCAGCCAAGAGAUUAUGGACUUGAUCUUCCAGAAUUCAUUCUCUAAGUUGAGAAUGUGAUUGAAUUCCUUCAACAGGAUGUUUUCAAGUCCAUGGGGGGAAAGGGCAAGUAGGGUAGUUGGGAGACUUUUGAAUACCAGCUAACCUUACAAGCAAGUGCUUCUUCUUCCUGAAAAUAUUUCCAAAGGUGUGGUUAUUCUAGUCCCUAGCCUUGUCUUCAAAAUCAGAUGUGGCUGUAGUGACACAGGGAUAAUUAAGAAAGACUUCUUGGAUCAGGUUAGGGAAGUCCUGGUGGGUGAGCCACAUAGAUUCCACCCUGAAAGGCUUAAUUUGAUUUAUAGGGGGAUUUUCUAAGUUAAGGAGAAGGGGGGAGUGGUCAGAGUGAGUUCUAGGGAGAUGGGUAAUAGAGGUUUCAGGGUAAAAGUAGAUCCACAGGUUAUUGGCUAGACAUCUGUCAAGCCUUUCCAAAAUAAGACUUUAUCUAUUCCAAUAUUUCAUGUUGGACCAAGUAUAUUUUCUAUCCCUAAAACCUAAAUCAAUGAGCUGACAGUGAUUUAGGCAGUUCAUAAACAUGUUAGUUCUUUAUAGGUUGAUCAUAGAACCUCCAAACUUUUCAGAGGCUCUCAGCAACUCAUUGAAAUCCCCUCCAACUAACCAGCUCUUACCCUCAGUGGUAAUGUAGGUAUCAGAGAAGGAGGAGAGCUAGUCCCAGAGACUAACCCUAGAGCUGAAAUCAGUGCUAGCAUAGAUGAUACUAAUAAACCAAGAAGAAUAAGGAGAUCUAACCUUGACUUUUGUAUGAAUGGCUUAAGAGAAAUUGGAAAUAGAGGUGAUAAAGAUAGAGUCCUCCGUCUACAUGAUGACAGGGCCUCUAGAGUUGCCAUUGUCCUCAAACUCAAUGUGGAAUGGCCUCAGACUCAAUGUGGUGGUGAUAUCCUAGCUCUUCACAAAGGUCCUGAUGAUCAGUCAUCUUAUUUUUACCAAUACCAAGAUGUAAGGUUGAUAAAUAUUGACCAUGGAUUUGCAAUUCUUUCUGAAUUUAGUAUUCUUGGCCCCCCAGCAUUCCACAUUAUGCAGUUCUUUAUUAUCGAGUGGAGAGGGUGGGGUGGCUCUAGUACUGUCACCUUGUCUUUUUUCUUAGGGUUAGAGGUGAGUGUUAAUGAGGGGGGCUUUUUUUCUGUUGAAUGAGCUCAAGGUGACCCUGAGUAUCUCUUCUAUCAUAGGGUUUAUUGUACUGAUUCUUAGACCUAGUCCUGCUAACCCUAGUAGAAUCAGGAUGAUUACAAUCUCCUGAACUGGCUCUGUGAACUCUAGAUUUAGAGGUUCUACCAUGUUGAGAAUCUCUGAUCAUGGGACUCUGAGAUUGGAUAGGAACUCCUCCAUAUCCAUGUUGAUGGUUCUCAAUGCCUCCAAGGUAUUUAAUCUCUCCGCCCUCUCCAGAGUGAGAUGGAGAGAUGAUGUGGUUGAUAGCGGAGUUGGUGACUAGGUUGGAGAGAUUUAGAGCCCUCCAAAGGAAGGUGCAAAAGAUGGUCCCAGGAGAAUCAUUGUAGGGUUCUGAGGAGGAAAGAAGGGGAGGCUGAGGCUCAAAUUAUUCAUGAUGUUGGCUUAGUAUUCUGUGGUCAAUUUCUCUUAAAAGGGUGAGUUGAUCACAUAAAAUAGGGUGUCCAUCCAGACGUUGGACCCAUAUGUUUGGAGCCCCUGAUUUAGGGUUGCCAUUAUCAGUUGUGCAAGGUAUUGGGGGUCCUGAAUGAGGAUGGUAAACUGUCUCCCCUCUCAUUGUAGGUGUAGGGGUAUAGUUUGGUUGGAUAGACAAACUUCCAACCAUGACGUUGGCUGGUGAUUCGGGGAUAGCGGAGUUAUUGUGAUGGUAACUUUAUUGGAGUUUGAGGUGUCCAUGGCAAUUUUUUUAUGAAAUUAGCUAUGUUCUCCUCAGGAUAUAUAGAGUGGGAGGAGGUGGGGGAGAGAAUCUGGGAGGUUUUCCCAUGGAAAUACCACCAGCAUUUAAUGCUCUGUCUAAUCCUUGAACAACCUCCAUCAUAUCACUGCAGAAAGUGGAAAGGUUUCCCGCCGCCAGGGCUCUAAGCUCAUUAUUGCCCAAGUCCAAGUGGCUGGAAGGGGCCCCACUAAUAGGAGCUUCAUUCUUUUUUAUUCCCAUAGGGAAAUUUAAUUUAACAAAAAGGGAAAUUAAGAGAAGGGGGUUUGGGUUUCUCAGAGUCCCAUUGGGCCUUAAGGGUAGGCCCAUAGAUAAUAGAAGAACUGGGCAGUUGCCCCAUUAGGAGGGUUUUUUGGCCCUUAACGGCAUUUUAUGGGUGGGCCUGAUUACUAUUAGGCUUCUUGCCCGCAGUGGUAGGCCUUGAGGAUUCUCCUUAGGCCUGAACCUCUUUGGGGUUUACCUUUGGGAGAGGCCUGAUGGUCUCUCCCGACGCCGUCACCGGUAGAUCAAGGUUUAGGAACUUAAUAUGAGGCUGCAUCAUAGGAUUUAACCUUGAUGAUGGGAUCUUCCUUCGGUUGUUGCUGCUUUUUAGGCCUCGAUUUCUUCUUCUUGGCAAAUUUCAUUAUUUGCCAUUCUAAUCGUUGCUCGAUCGAAGGUUUGUACUCCGACGUAGGGGAGGUGGUCGUUGAUGUUGUUUCCUCACAUGCGCCAUCAUCCUUGUUUGACUUCAGCGGAUAUGAACAGAUAUUUGAUGUGUGACCAAGACGACUAUAGUUUUUGCACAGGAGGCCCUCCCCUUCGUAGAGGAGGGGCUAAUUAUGGUGAUUAAUGGAGAUUGAAGCUAUCACUGGGGUAUUUAGGGGAAUCUGAACACAGAUUCUAGCGUAUCUUCCUCGUAGUGUUACCGAUGUGCAUGCAUCUACUUUUAGCAGUGAACUAAUUUUAGUGCCGAUUCGAUGAAGGAUUGAGGCAUUGUAUACCUCUAUGAGCAGGUGUGAAAGCCUGAUCCAUAUGGCUGUUGAAUCCACUUUUUAGUGGCUUGGAACGAAAUUAGGUUCUCAUUUCCUUACAAAUAUGAAGCUGCCAGCAAUGAACCAAGGUCCCCCAAGUAGGAUGGAGGCUUGGCUUUCCGAUUUUGAAAGCUUCACUGUGAAGAAACCCAGCCCCAGAUCUAUGAGGCAUAGGGGUUCUGCUAAUUUCCAAAGGUCAUCCAACUUUUUCUUCAGGUAUUGAUGGUUAAAAUUCCCUUUGAUGGGCUUGAUGAUGAUAGGGUGGAUCCAAGGCGCAUAUAAUCGAAUUUCAUCUUCCUUCGAUAAGAGGAUUUCCUUUUCAUCCAGUUGUGAACCUUGAUUUUUGCUGGGGUCCAAAGUUCCCAAAGGGGUUUUUGGUGGGUGAAUUUUUCCAGCUACAAUAUCUUUGUAAGAAGGUAGAGUUUUUGCCAUGAGAAUCUCUUUAGGAGAAUUGGCUAUUGGGGGGUUUGGUAGGAGAGGUGGGGUUAAAGUGACAUCCAUGGCUGAGUUGGUGCCGAUGGUGGAAGAGGAGGGUAGAGAGAGAGGGAGUCUGUUUCUCUCUUGAACAAUACAAUUCACUUGCAACCCGUUCACUUUUAAGUAUGCACAAAAAGGGCAACUUGAAGUCAUUUUCUCAUUGAGCUUAUUCAUUUUUCUUUGUACUACUCAAAAUUAUUGCACAAGGAUUAUUGUUCUCUUAUCAUCUUCAGGAGCUUAGUCAAUUUUAAUCUCCCAAGUCCCAAUCGUAUCAUCAACACUCCACAUCACUAAAGUUCUGACUAAAAAAUUAUUGUACUAUAAGAGUAAUUUGAACAAAUUAUAUUAGGUUAUUUUUUGUAUACUCGAACAAAUUAUAUCAGGUUACUUCUUUCCAGAGUUAUUGCAUCGUGCUUUGUAUAUUGUAAUGAACAUGGACUUGUUAUUGUAAAACUAACUCAAACUUGAUAACUUUAAUACUAGCGAGGUUUUCAAUGAAGCCUUCCUCCCUUAUUCAUUCUGCCUUAUUUUUCUUUAAUUUAGAGAAGUAGGCAUAAUUAAGUUCUACAAAACAUGUAUAUUGAACCAAGUAUAAAGAAAUAUUUGGGAACAGCAUGACUUAAAACUUAUGGUAUACAAUUUUUAGAGUUAAUACAUAAAAAUGACCCUAAACUUGACACCAAAUUAUAACUUUGACCUUAAACUUUGAUAGUACACAACUUUGAUAGUACACAAAUAGGAUAUUUAACUAUUCAAAACCUGAACAAAUAUGACCUUCGAUUUUGCAACCCCAUGUGUGAGUCUCACUCGCGCCUACGUGGAAAGGUAAUUCAAUCACACGGUUCUACGUCGUUAAAAGGGCUGACUUGGAGAGAGGUCAUAUUUGUCCAAUUUAGAAUAGUUAAAGGUCAUAUUUGUGCACUGUCAAAGUUUUGUUUUUUGUGUUAAAACGACGUCGUUUUUAUUAUUAUUACUAUUAUUAUUGUAAUAAUAAUUUUUUUAUUUAUUUCUAUAGUAGCAGCGCGUAACUUUUUUUAAAUUUAAAAUUAUUGUUAUUAUUAUUAUUAUUAUUAUUAUAUUUAUUUCUUUGGCAGGAGCACCUAACUUUUUUUUAAUUAAAAAAAAAGCCACUAGCAGGGAUCGAACCUGCACAUUAGGCUGAAGGAAGCGCCCAAAAAAAGCAAAUAACACCACUGGGCUAUCUAAGUGUCUUAUUUCAUGUGGUUUAACAUUAAUAUACGUACAUAAAUAUACAUUUUCUAUCUUAUAGAUAUACAACGUAAUUUUUUUACCGAGGAGUUCAGGCGAACCCCAUGGCAACCACGUAGGUCCGCCCUUGCAUUAAAUUAAUAAUGUUUUAAUAACAUUAAUUUAAUAACAUUGUAAUAACGUUAAUUUAAUAUAAUACUACUACUAUCCUUAAUAACGUUAAUUUAAUAACGUUUUAUUAAAACUAUAAUUUUUUUAUUAUUAGUAUAGUUUCAUCUUUAAUUUAAUAUUUAAAUAAAUAAUAUUUAGAUAUAUUAUAUAACUUAAAUUCGUCCUCUGCUUCCGACCACUCCCCCUCCUCCGGUGCCGGCGGGAUACAACAGCCCCCUCACCCCACCUCGGUCUCCAUCCAGUCGCCGCUCGGUCUCCAGCCGCCGAUUCGGUCUCCAACAGCCGAAGCUCGGUCUCCAGCCGCAGCUCCGCCUGCACCCGCCGCUCGGUCGCCAGCAGCCGCAGCACCCAAACGACGACCAGUUCCCUCGGUCUCCAGCAGCCGCAACUCCAUCUCAGCACCGGAAUCCCCCGGAACCCGGUCAACGCUGGGCUUUGGUUUCCGGCUUGGUUUUCAAGCGCAACCCGAUGACUUUUAACCUUUGUUAUUUCAUUCUUCGUAUUAUGCUAGUAGUAGCC